This 348-nucleotide ribosomal RNA is filed under the name uncultured soil bacterium. RNAcentral's name for it is "bacterial SSU rRNA". It matches the Rfam family "Bacterial small subunit ribosomal RNA", at positions 26 to 377 of the family's 1533-position model. The record is from RNAcentral.
AGAUUGAACGCUGGCGGCAUGCCUUACACAUGCAAGUCGAACGGCAGCACGGGAGCAAUCCUGGUGGCGAGUGGCGAACGGGUGAGUAAUAUAUCGGAACGUGCCCAGUCGUGGGGGAUAACGCAGCGAAAGCUGUGCUAAUACCGCAUACGAUCUAUGGAUGAAAGCGGGGGAUCGCAAGACCUCGCGCGAUUGGAGCGGCCGAUAUCAGAUUAGCUAGUUGGUGGGUAAAAGCCUACCAAGGCGACGAUCUGUAGCUGGUCUGAGAGGACGACCAGCCACACUAGGAACUGAGACACGGUCCAGACUCCUACGGGAGCAGCAGUGGGAAUUUUGGACAAGUGGGCG